RNAcentral lists this unclassified non-coding RNA (1240 nucleotides) under Leguminivora glycinivorella. Its description in RNAcentral is "uncharacterized LOC125231676, transcript variant X4". Lineage: Eukaryota; Metazoa; Arthropoda; Insecta; Lepidoptera; Tortricidae. The record is from RNAcentral.
GUGAUUGCGUCAGUCGCAAAAUAUUCACCGUACAGAGCGCACGCUCUUCAAAAAUUGUGUUUGUGUAUUUUUUAAAUACAUUUUUACCUACAAUUAGUUCGUGUAUUUGUUUUGAUAAGUUCUUGGUCAGGAGACACCAUGACGUCGUCGGACUUACCUCCAGCGUACAACUCUAUUCACAACUCUACCGCUAAUAUUGCUGUAAGUUCCAUCUCAAUACCAGAGGAUUUCUUAAAGAUGCCAAAUGAGUCGGAACCAAAUUGUGACGAUGUAUCAGAAUUGAUAACCAACAACUGCUUCGAUGACAAAACCACUAGAAUUGGGUUUUUACAAAAGGUGCUGGCUAUAAAAUUGUUACAGACACUCUUAAUGGUUCUCAUCUUUGGCAUUUUCGCAGCGUGCAAUUACGACAUCCGUAUGACAAUGCGUCAUGGGGCAGAGGUGCACUUUAUAUUAUUAUCAACUUUAAUAUUCCUUGCUAUUACUGGGCUUCUCAUAUACUGCACUAAAGCUCGGCGAGAGAACCCGUACCGAUACAUCUUCCUGAUAUUCCACCCGAUCAGUUUGGCACUAUUUGUCAGUUUUCCGGCGACGAUCCUGUACAUUUUAUCUUCGAUCGCCUUAGCUUUCCUCACCUACGUGUUUGCGCUGUUCUCCGUGCUGCUAUACAGCGUUUUUGCGCUGCAGACCAAGCUACCGUUUGCUGCCAAGCACGCCAUGUUCCUUGCGUGUCUAGUGCAGAUUUUAAUAUAUGCAUUCAUCGUCCCUUUCGUGUGGGGAGUCAACGCCUUCGCAAUUCUAUACAUCUCUCUCGCUCUCUCUCUAGAUUUAAUUUACAUUCUAUGGGACUUAGAAACUAUGACUUCCAAAAAGUAUUGGCAUGAUAUCACACCUGACAAUUUUGUCGACGGAGCUCUUAACCUGCAGUUAGAUUACUACUAUAUGUUUGUUAAUAUCAUGAUGCCACAAAUACGUAAAGGUGUAGAAACAAAUGAACAGUGUUAAUCAUUAUGACAUUAUGGCCAAAUUUUAAAGUUCCAUUAAUGAUUAAAAAUUAAAUUAUGGCGAGAUUUUUUGUAUCCGUUUAAAUGGAGAUGAGAGAAGACUUUUGUACCAAACUCUAUUUUGCUAAUGAUGAUUUGAUUGAUUUGAUUAUGAUGAUGAAGAUGAUGCUGAUGAGUUUGAUGAUACAGGGUGGCUAGCCGAAUGGCACAAUCGCUCACGAAACGCUCACGAAACG